This 78-nucleotide transfer RNA is filed under the name Halomicronema hongdechloris C2206. Its description in RNAcentral is "tRNA-Val". It matches the Rfam family "tRNA". Rfam says of the family: Transfer RNA (tRNA) molecules are approximately 80 nucleotides in length. Lineage: Bacteria; Bacillati; Cyanobacteriota; Cyanophyceae; Nodosilineales; Nodosilineaceae. The record is from RNAcentral.
UGGACGUAUAGCUCAGUUGGUUAGAGCGCCACGUUGACAUCGUGGAGGUCACUGGUUCGAGUCCAGUUACGUCCAUCC